AAACGAUGAGAUCAAAGAUGAUGGUGUGACGGAGAAGGGGGUAAUGUAUGGAAUGAGUGGUGCCACUGGCGGUUCUACUCGUUCUACCUUGUUCCCCACUGACUGUUCUCGAGCAGCUGCUCCACCUUCUAAACUGACUGUUCUCCUUGUUUUGGUUGAAACUUUGCAGCAGUAAAGAGUAAGAGGCUGCGUCGAUCCUUUCCUCUCCAACAUUUUUGCACAUAUCAGCACAUAUGAAACUGAAAAACAGAAUGCAUGAAGGUGGAAUUAAGGUUUAGGUACAAGGUAGGUACUAGUUAAAAAUGAGCUAACCACUCAGGAACAUCAAGAUAGGUAAGAAGGAUAAGAAGUCCUGAGUGUGAGUCUCGUUUUCCUGAUCUAAUGCCCAUAACAAGAGGAUUUUGCAGUCAAUAUUAGGUACAAGUUAGGUGGAUUUAAGUCUACCCAGUGUAACAUGAUCGGCUGAAAACUUCUGGAGAAUCAAGUGAGAUAAGCCAGGAUUGUUCCAGGUCCAAGUGUGGGUUUUUCGUCAUUGCUAAGGUCACUGAAUAAGAAAAUUAAAGCACGAGGUGGUU
Molecule: long non-coding RNA, 575 nt
Filed under: Brassica rapa (field mustard)
Lineage: Eukaryota; Viridiplantae; Streptophyta; Magnoliopsida; Brassicales; Brassicaceae
Description: long non-coding RNA (BRAP_LNC007636)
Source: RNAcentral